This 1615-nucleotide long non-coding RNA is filed under the name Linum usitatissimum (flax). RNAcentral describes it as "long non-coding RNA (LUSI_LNC006018)". The record is from RNAcentral. Lineage: Eukaryota; Viridiplantae; Streptophyta; Magnoliopsida; Malpighiales; Linaceae.
GUAGAGUAUUUGAGUUUUCAUCCGAAUUUUUUUGAGGAUUAUAUUUGUUUCUUUCGUUAAUUACUCAAUUUUAUCUGUCAUACAACUGGUUAUGAGAAUCUGUACAUAAAUGUUAAUGAAGUUAAUUGGUACAUAUUUCCUCGUCAUUGUGUUUCCAAAACUAAAUUCGGAACAAGUACCUGUCUAGUACUAGCUAUGCUGCAUUAGAGGUUGCAACUUCUUGCAAUACGACCUGCUAUGGUACUGGAGUUCUGGAAGCCACUAUAACUCCAGCACAAACCUGCUUUUUGCAAAAGAAAAGAACAGCUUAUCAGACAAGAAAAUAUAACAGGAAGCAGUCAUUUGUGAGGGUAUCAAUCGGUAUGACUUCUAUACAUAUAUGAGAAACUGAGACACAUAGAUUACAUGACAAAUAAAAUAUUAAAAGAUGAAAGAACGAAGGACAAUGUUUCUGAAGCAACAUUUGUUUAUGCAAAUCCAGAUAGUUCUCAAUCUAAUACUAUUAACACCAGGUAAACAGCAGGUCCUACUGAGUUUACGGUCUUUCUCCCCUCUUUUCUAAUCUCCAAAAUAGUUCUAAGCAAACCACCACCAACUAGAGGAAGUGCUAUAAGAUGUUUCCGUACCAUCGAUUGACAUCAACCAUACAAUUGACAGAUAGUGAAAGAAAGCAUAUUCCAACUUACUGCAAACACCAGUCACCUAAGUUAAAGCCGCACCUCUAAUACAGUGAAUGAAGAGCUGCAACAUUCUUCAAGGAUUUAAGGAUCCUAUGGUUGUGCUUUACCAGAUGGUACAUACAAAUAAUGGAUCAAAGCAGAGUUCUGCAUUGCACUUUCUUAACCUUUCAACUUGAUUCACCGAACUACCUCACGAUUCUCCGUCAGUAGAUGCUGAGAUAACAAACUGAUAAGAUAUUCGACGAUUAAUAUGCAUCUUUAUGUUAAGAAAAUAAGACAAUGCGCUAAAAUUCACUAUGACAACUCGAAAAAGAACCUCGUGAGCUAUUAUGGGUCAGUAGUUCACUCUAAAACUUGUAUAAUCCGGAAUCUCAACAUCAGUGCAUACUAAAUGUAUCUAGCUUAUACCGAAUGCAAAUCAACCAAAACCUUUUUGAUAAUCUGGAUCGAAGAUUAUCAUCAAUCAACAGAAACAGAGGGCCUGAUUACUCAUCAAAGUUGUGGAAAACUGAUACUUUUUUUUUUGACAAAUGGAAAACUGAUACACACAACACUACAUAAGGACAUAACCACUUUUCAAUCCAGAAGACCAAUUAAUCGAAUCAAGAACAGUAUGAACAUCCUUGCGAUUAUAAGGUCCCCCCGUAUAUACACGCAUAACACUAAGAUAUCAAGAAAAGAACUCCAUAAAUUACCUCAAAUAAAGAAUAUAUGCUGCUACCCAGAGCUCCGUAGCAAUUCACUAACGGCUUUCUGCAAACUGAAGCUCGAACCGAACUAAAAGGUGCUCCGACAAUGAUGAGAACGUGACCGGAUUUGAACGACGGCGAGUAGUUUGUCGGAGUUCAGUAACUUGAGACUUAGUCCGUUAGUCGACUGUAGUAUGAAGUUUCUUAAUGGAUAUUUUUUGGGCCUUUCUAAAAAUUGCCUCCUUC